Molecule: ribosomal RNA, 537 nt
Filed under: uncultured bacterium
Lineage: Bacteria
Description: bacterial SSU rRNA
Rfam family: Bacterial small subunit ribosomal RNA
Source: RNAcentral
AAUAGAUACCCCGGUAGUCCACGCCGUAAACGAUGGAUGCUAGCUGUUAUGCGUAUCGACCCGUGUAGUAGCGAAGCUAACGCGUUAAGCAUCCCGCCUGGGGAGUACGAACGCAAGCUUAAAACUCAAAGGAAUUGACGGGGACCCGCACAAGCGGUGGAGCGUGUUCUUUAAUUCGAGGCUAAGCGAAGAACCUUACCAGGGCUUGACAUCCUUGGAAUUUCUCCGAAAGGAGAGAGUACUUUAUUGGACCAAGUGACAGGUGCUGCAUGGCCGUCGUCAGCUCGUGUCGUGAGAUGUUUGGUUAAGUCCCGCAACGAGCGCAACCCUUGAUCUUAGUUGCCAGCAUUUAGUUGGGCACUCUAAGGUGACUGCCGGUGACAAACCGGAGGAAGGUGGGGAUGACGUCAAAUCAUCAUGCCCCUUAUGACCUGGGCUACACACGUGCUACAAUGGAUGGUACAAAGGGCUGCAAGACCGCGAGGUCAAGCCAAUCCCAUAAAACCAUUCUCAGUUCGGAUUGUAGGCUGCAACUCG